GACGAACGCUGGUGGCGUGCUUAACACAUGCAAGUCGAACGGGAUUUAGUAAACAGAAGCCUCGGUGGAAGAUUACUAAUGAGAGUGGCGAACGGGUGAGUAACGCGUGAGCAACCUGCCUAUGACAGUGGGAUAGCCUCGGGAAACCGGGAUUAAUACCGCAUAAAAUCGUAGAAACACAUGUUUUAACGGUCAAAGAUUUAUCGGUCAUAGAUGGGCUCGCGUCUGAUUAGCUAGUUGGUGAGAUAACAGCCCACCAAGGCGACGAUCAGUAGCCGGUCUGAGAGGAUGAAUGGCCACAUUGGAACUGAGACGCGGUCCAAACUCCUACGGGAGGCAGCAGUGGGGAAUAUUGCACAAUGGGGGAAACCCUGAUGCAGCGACGCCGCGUGAACGAAGAAGGUAUUCGUAUCGUAAAGUUCUGUCCUAUGGGAAGAUAAUGACAGUACCAUAGAAGAAAGCUCCGGCUAAAUACGUG
RNAcentral lists this ribosomal RNA (478 nucleotides) under uncultured bacterium. Its description in RNAcentral is "partial 16S ribosomal RNA". It matches the Rfam family "Bacterial small subunit ribosomal RNA", at positions 28 to 507 of the family's 1533-position model. The record is from RNAcentral.